Molecule: long non-coding RNA, 15476 nt
Filed under: Gossypium barbadense (sea-island cotton)
Lineage: Eukaryota; Viridiplantae; Streptophyta; Magnoliopsida; Malvales; Malvaceae
Description: long non-coding RNA (GBAR_LNC009930)
Source: RNAcentral
AAAUACAGGACUGAUUUCAAAAUAGCAUUAAGAAACAGAGGAAUUCCUAACUUUAUAUCACUGUACAGCCCAAUUUUGGGGACCAAAUAAAACCCACUAACCCCUAAAUACUCACUAAACCCCCUACAACACCAAAUAAAACCCAAUAGCAGCCCAAUUCAAACCAAAUAAACAAACAGACCAAAACCGACAAGCCCAAUGCAAACCCAAACUACCCACUACACACUAAACCUACCCAAACCCCAAUCUAACCCUAAAUCACUUAUCCCACCGCCCCAUGUCAGAAUCUGGCCACCGCCUCUGCUCCACCGCCACGGUCACGUAAGUCACCCACUUGCUCCACUACCUGCAAAUAUUAAAUAGAGAAAAGACAGGAAGUAGAAAAGAAACAUGUAAUGGCUAUAUAUAAAGCCGAAUCAAAAACCAUGAGGGUCGGUUUUUUGAAAAUGAAAAGCAUUUAGAUCUUAAAGAAUACAAAACAGAGAUUUCAUCAACAUCAAAAGGAAAAAAAACGAAAUCUCAGCAAAAUCAAAAGGCAGAAAACAGUUCAAACAAAGAAUCGAAAUCUAAUAUUGCAAGGUGAUUUUACCAUCAUCAUUGUCUUCUUUCUUUUUCUUCUUUUAAUCUAUUUAUUCACAUGCCUAUACAUAUAUAAAAUAGCAAAAAAAUAGAAUAAAAAAUUUACCUUGAGCGAUUUCCGGACACCGUGUACGGUGGCCGGAACGGCGGACGACACGGCGGCGAACGGUCGGCUCCUCGCCGGUUUCUGGGCUCGCUGCAGAGAAAGGAGAGAGGGAGAGAGGGUUUCAGCCUUUUUUUGCUGGAAAGAACGAAAAAUGAAGUUUCAAAAAAACCUUGACUUUUAAAGGCUCCCGGUACGACGUCGUUUUGGGGCGUGCAUUCAGCACCCAAAACGACGUCGUUUAGCGAUCCGAUCCACGACCCGACCCGUCUGCCCGAAGGAUCCGCGUGUUUUUGCAAGCAUGGUCUAAUUGCUUAUGCAGUCCUUCCUCUUUUUGUACAUUUUGCAAACAAGUUCUUAUUUAUUUUAAAUUUACCCAGAAAUUUGUCGCGUAUUGCGAUUUGGCCCCCCUUCAGUGAUGCGUGUUAAGGGCUCGGGAAAAUUUCUCUUUUGGCCCUCCGCAGUCGCGCGCAUUUUCAAAUUAGUCCAUUUCUCCUUUAUUAUUUUUUAAUCGGCCCCAAAACUUCAUUUUGUCUCGAAUUAAGUCCUUCUUCAUAUUUAAUAUAUAUAUAUUUUUUGUAUUAUUUUUGCCUUUUUUUAUUUUCUAAUAUUAUUUAUCAUUUUAUUUAUUAUUCUCAUUGUUAUUAUUAGCAUGUUUAUGCUAUUAUUUAGUAAUCUUUUUAUUUUCCAUUUAACACUCAUAUAUAUUUUAUAUGUUUAUAUAUUAUUAUUCCCAAUAUAUAUUUCAUGUAUACGUAUUUAAAUACCAUACUAUAUACAUAUAUGUUAUAUCUAUUUUUGCCCCCAUUAUAUUUGAUAAUAAUAUUAGUGUACAUAUUAUUAUAUGUGUAUAUAUCUUUAACCUAUACAUAUACGUCUACAUUUAUAUAUUAUUAUUAAUUUUUGGUAUUAUUGUUUUGUUAAUGCAUUUGUAUAUCAUAUAUGCAUCCUUCUAAUAUAUAUAUAUAAUACUCUAUAUUAUGCACAUGUAUAUUAAUAUUAUACAUAUCAUAUAUAUUAUGUACAUCUAUAUUGUAAAUAUCAUAUUGUUUGUACAUUCUAUUAUGUAUAUUUUUAUGACUAUUAUGUACUCAUUUCAUAUAUAUAUCCCGUAUAUUUUUAAUAUGUCAUAUAUCCUUUUUUUGUUUGUUUUGUUUCUAUUAUUAUAUAUAUAUUUUUUAAUACCAUAUGUAUUAUUAUAGUUUUAUAUUAUUGCUAUUAUUAUUGUUUUCGUCAUCAUUGUCAUUUUUCUUUUGUCAUGUUUUAUGCAUUUUUAUUCAAUGGUUUUAUUUUCCUCAUGCAUUUGUCUAUAUUUACACAUUACUAGGCUUGCUAUUAUUUCAUUUUUAUAUAAUUGCUCACAUUAUUAUUUUGAUAUUGUCACGCUCAUUAUUAUACAUUAUUAUUAAUACCAAAAUUUGCUUUUAUAAAUCACGUUAUAUUUUUUUACUCAAUAUAUUCAAACAAUUCUCUUAUAAAAGCAAUAUCCUGUAUUAGGUAAUUCGAGAUAAUCGUGCCCUAACUUACUGGGUUUCGACUCUUCUCAUUUAACCUAAAUAACGGAAUAUAUUCUUUUUAAAUCAUUAUACGAGUUUUAAAAAAUGCUUAUUCUCGAAGAUGCGAGGUGUUGUGCCCUAACUUACUGGGUAUGACAUUUUGUCAUCUCGAAAUAAGAAUUUGUUUUGGAAUAAAGGCAAUAUUCGGUGUUUGAAAACUCGAGAAAACGUGCCCUAACUUACUGGGUUUCGAUUUCUCUCGUUCACUCUAAAUAAUCGAAUACCCUUUAAAAUACACAGAUUUUAUAAAAGGCAAGCUCGCUCUCGAAAAUUCGAGAUGUUGUGUCCUAACUCACUGGAUAUGACAUUUCAUAUUUGAGACGAGAAGGUCUUUAAUAUUUAAGCAUUUUCUUUACAAAAAAAGGAUCGUAUGUCAAAAGUUUUCCAAGUUUUCAAUCUUCGACACUAAGACACUAAUUAAUCAACUAGGUACCAAUUUUGGGCGUAUCGAGGGUGCUAAUCCUUCCUCGCGCGUAACCGACUCCCGAACCUGUUUUCUUGAUUUGCGUAGACCAAAAUUGUUGUUUAAAUAAAUCAAGUUAUUUAUUAAAAAAACCACUUUAACGAGGUGACCCGAUCACACCUAGUCAAAAAGGAUCAGUGGCGACUCCCGUUUUUUUGCGUUUAUUUUCAAAACCCAAGUCGAUUCCCGUUUCACCAAAAAAUGGUUACGACAGCUUGGCGACUCCACUGGGGACACGAAUGAGAGAGUAAAGCCACGAGUUGAUUAACUCUUGUCUUUUUAUCGAAAAUUAAAAAUUUGGUUUUGAAAUGCGAUCCUUUCGUUACAUUUCAUCAGCUAUUUUUGUGGUACAAUACCUGCUGCGUUUUUUCGAAUCUUUAAAUAGUUUUGCAUAUUGCAUUGCAUGGUCGCUGUGGUCACAUCCCUUUAAGUGGGAGUGAGAAACUACUCCUUCGUGAGGUUUUCACCUCCGUGCAGGAUAGUGGAUCGCUUUCGGGAUACAUCCGUACCUAUGUCUUCGUGAGAUUUUCAUCUCCGUGCAGCCAUAGGGAAAUGUAUUCCCCUGAACUAAACUCGGUCUGUAUGAGCCUAUAAUGGGUGAAGAUCGAGGAAUCUACUGGUUCAGGUACCCUUACUCUAGAACUAAACCCCAUGUAGCGAGCCUUAAGAACCCGCUCUAGGUAGAGCCACUCCGAAACCCUAGUGAUCACCUGAGCAAGUGCUAUAUUUAUUAUUCUUUGUUUGCUUUGAACUGCGUAUAAAUUACUGACUUGCUUUGUUUUACUUUGAUUGCAUUUGCAUGGCAUUUUCAUUGUAAAAGGUGUUGAUUCGCAUUCGGUUCCUAAAUAGAUAGCUUAUCAUGGAAAAUGGGUUUUUUGAUAAAGUAGAAGACAACGCGGCUGUCCGGAUAUGGGCUGAGACAACACAACAAGAGAAAGGUGACAGUCUUAUCGAGGGGUACGUGUCAGAAUUGUGGAAUUUUACUCGGAUCAGCAUAACUCAGAAUAAUCUCUAAGAGAUGAAAGAAAUUUGGGGUCAGUGGGAUGACGAGGUCAAACAGCUAUUCUAUUGUCAUUACGGUGAUUUACCUUAUCUGCUUGAUGUCAAGGUAGAUGAACACUUGUUUCGAGCCCUUGCCCAAUAUUGGAAUUCUGCUUACAGUUGCUUCACCUUCGGGAAAGUAGAUUUGGUACCUACUAUAGAAGAAUACACGACCUUGCUCCAUUGCCCAAAGAUUCAGGUUGACAGAAUUUAUGCCAGACCUGCUAACGUCCCAGCAUUUUCAAAAAAGCUAAUGAACCUCACAGGGAUGAGCGAACAGUGGGUGACAACCCGGAUCAAACAAAAAGGAGAUUGUAAAUGCAUUCAUUGGAGGAACCUGAGGGAUCUAGUCUUAGCGCACCCCGACGUGAAGAAAAGGGUAGAUGUCUUCGCCUUGAGCAUUUAUGGACUGGUCAUCUCCCCAAGGCUUUGGGGCAUGUAGACGAGGCUGUUGCCGACCUUUUCGACAGGCUUGGCAAAGGAACCACACAUGUACCCACAAUCUUGGCUGAAACUUUCAGAUCAUUAAAUGUUUGUAGAAGAGCGGGCGAAGGGAGAUUUAUUGGAUGUGCACAGCUCUUGUUAUCCUGGUUCCACAGCCAUUUUUGGAAAGUGGAAAAGGUCUCGUAUCGUAUCUUCUCUGAAAAUUACUCUCCGCUGAAAGAGUUAGUGGCUACACCGAGGCGAGAUGAUGUGACAGAAGAAAAUUAGAUGACAGUGCUCCAGAAUCUGUAAGAAGAAGAUGUUGAAUGGAGAGCUCCGUGGAUGGUUCCUAAUGAAAUAUUAUACCGAUGCGGAGACUUCGAUUGGGUUCCCUUGUUAGGAGUAUGGGGGGCCGUCGGGUAUGCUCCUCUGCUUGCAUUACGACAGUACAGAUCCAGACAGUUUACACCACCAACAUACGGGUUAGCCCAGUGCGAGUUCGUGUUCACAGGGAAUAAUUACAAAAAGAAAGUUCGCGAGAUUUCAAAUGCCUGGAACCAGACUCGUAGAAUGAAGAAGUUUGCUGCCAAUCCCAUGACUACUCCUGAGUACGACCGAUGGUGGAAUCAGAGGAUUAACGACAAUAUCCUUACACCAGAUCUAGGGAAUCCUCAGCCGAUAGAAGAGCACCUGAAAGUAAUCCCAUCUGAGCUAGAAAUCAUCAAGCAAGAUUUCGCAAGAAAGAGUCUGGAGCUAGAAAAAAAGAUCGAGCAAUUGGAAGAAGAAAAGAUGCAGUUAGGGUUAUAUGUCUAUGUCCAGAAACUAGAAGCUGAAAAACUCAGAAAAGGGAAAAACAAGGCCGAAGAGGACUUAGACAGUUUGAAAACGGACUAUAAGAAGCUGCGCAGAUCAAUGAGAACCGCUGGAUUAGGAAAAACAUCCGAACAAUAGCGACAUGAAGUUAAGGAAGAACAAAGCAAAGCCAACUAGUGGGAGGAAAAAUUUCGCGGAGCUCAAGCUCGAGAAGGUGCUUUGAAAAGAAGUUUGGUAGAAAGCCAGAAUGAGAAAGAAGGGUUAAAGAUCGGAGUAUCAGAGUUAGAAAGGUUAUUGUAUCAGUAUCGCUCGCGUAAUUCUGUAAUCGAGUUGAAAGCUAGUCAGAACAGAAUCGAAGAAUUAAAAGAGAAUAUAGAAGAACUCAGAACAGCGCUGCAAAAUCGUGAACUUCAGAUAGAACUCCUCGAGGUAAAUAGCGAGAGAUGGAAUGAGCAACUUUAUCAAUCUCAAGACCAAGUCAGAAGCAGGGACUACGUCAUGAGCGAAGCUUUGACUCAAGUGCGAGAAGUGGCUGAUCACUUGCAAACAUUAGCAGUACAAGCAGAUGUGCUGAGUUUAAAAUACGAGUCAGAAUCGGACCGAGGACAAAAGCUAGCUUGGCUUUUUAGGCAGGUCAAGGCCUUAAGCAUCAGGGCCAAGCCUUAUAUGUAAUCUAUUUUAUGUAAAGAAACUUAUUUUCUAGAAAAGUUACUCUAAUGAAAUCGAAUUGGAAUCAACGCUUUUUUGCAUUCAUCGCAUUCACUGCAUUCAUGCAUCAGCAUUGUAUCAUAUGCACUAAAACUCACAAGAAACCCUAAAAAAUCAUGGCCGUUACCCUGGAACAUCGUUACGGUACAAGGGAAAAAACAAGGGCAAUGGACCAAAGGUUAGAGAGAUUGGAACAAAUGCAAAAAGAGAUGCAGGAUCAAUUACAAGCACGUAUGCAAGAACAGCUUGCCAAAAUCCAGCAAGAUAUGAGGGACCACAUGUUGGAGUCCCAGAAAAGCAUGAUGGACCAAUUAACUCGUCUAUUGGCUGGCGGAUUAGAAAAAGGGAAAAGCCCUUUGGUCAAUGCGGAAGAAGAUAAUGAAGAUCCUACCUACCCUCCGGGUUUUGCCCCAGCAGACAUUCAGACACAACCUGACAUGUACCCAAAAAGGUCAUCGGUCAUGAUUAGGCCCCAACCAUUUCAGGCCGGUGCUUCAGCACCGAUGAAUUAUCAGGCCGACUCAGGCUCUAAUCCGGGGGACAAUCCAACCAAUCCUGUGGUCCUCAAUCUCGAUGAAGUAAUAGAAGCAGAAAAGACAAGGGUAGAACUCCCGAGAGAGCUUGAAGAAAGGUGUAGAUGGUUGGAAGAAAAAAUUAAAGAAACGGAAAACACCGACUAUCGUGGUGGAAUCGACGCUAAGGAAUUAAGUUUGGUUCCGGACCUGGUACUCCCUCCCAAGUUCAAAACUCUGAAAUUUGAGAAAUACAACGGGACUAGCUGUCCCGAAGCUCACAUCACUAUGUUCUGCAGACGGAUGGCGGGCCAUGUCAACAAUGACCAGCUAUUAAUUCACUGCUUCCAAGAAAGUCUGGUUGGGGCCGCUUCUAGAUGGGACAACCAGCUGAGUCGCGCCCAGAUCAGUUCAUGGAAAGAUUUAACACAAGCCUUCAUGAAGCAAUACGGUCAUGUGGCAGACAUAGCCCCUGAUAGAAUCACUUUACAGAAUAUGGAGAAGAAGCAUAAUGAAAGCUUUAGGCAGUAUGCCCAGUGAUGGAGAGAAGUGGCCACACAGGUCCAACCCCCUCUGUUGGAAAAGGAAACCACUAUGCUAUUCAUCAAUAUCCUGAAGGCACCUUUUAUUAACCACAUGCUGGGUAGCGCAACCAAGAGUUUUUCGGACAUAGUAAUGUCUGGAGAAAUGAUAGAAAAUGCCAUAAGAUGUGGGAAAAUAGAGGCUGGGGAAAAUACUAAGAGGACAGCGCCGAGAAAGAAAGAGCACAAGAUGAAUAAUGUGAGCUCAUAUUCGAAGUCGAUCACCGUAAGCCAACCAAGGUCAACAACUACUGGACAGCAGGGCCCACCCCGACAAGAGCCCAACACAAAACAAAAUAGGGAGAAACUUCAAUUUACACCCAUUCCAAUGACGUAUAAGGAGUUAUACCAGAGUUUAUUUGAUGCACAUGUCGUGUCUCCCUUCUAUCUAAAGCUAAUGCAACCUUCAUACCCCAAAUGGUAUGACGCAAAUGCCCAAUGCGAAUACCAUGCGGGAGCCACAGGACACUCGAUAGAAAACUGCACCACUUUUAAGAAAUUGGUUGAAAGACUCAUCAAUAUGGGGAUUGUGAAAUUUGAUGAUGCAUCCAAUACAGAGAACCCAUUACCUAACCAUGGGGAUAAGGGAAUAAAUGCGAUAAUCCAGAGUUCGGGGAAAGAAAUUAAGAUGAAUGUUGCAGAAGUGAAUACCCCGUUGAAAGAAGUAUGGAAGAAAAUGGUGGAAAGAGGUUUGAUGGCACAGAAUUCGGGGGUCAGGCCUCGAGAAGCGAAGAAUUAUUGUGAAUUCCACGAUCAAGAGGAUCACGAGAUCCAAAAAUGCAACCAAUUCAGGGCUUUAAUAUAAGGAUUGAUGGAUAAUAAGGAGCUGGAAUUCUUCAAAUAUGUCGGGAGCCCAGGAGAAACAGAUGUGUGUGCCUCCGAAGAGGGGUCGAUGAAGGAUGUUCACAAAGUCAACUACCCAGUGGUUAUCAUAUCACGUCCGAGAAUGAAUGAAGCUGGGGCACGAGUUGCGCCAAAGGUCGUGAUCCAAAAGCCCGUUGCUUUUCCUUAUAAAGAUAGCAAAAGGGUACCGUGGAACUAUAGCUGCAAUGUGACAUUUUUGGGAGAGGAGACCCCGAUUAAUGCAUCAGAAGAAGUUCAAGACGAAGGUUUUUAUACGCGCAGCGGAAGGCGUUAUACCCCAAAUACAAAAGCCGAGCAGGUUAAAGAAAAAUCAUUAGUAAUUGAGCAAAAGAAAGAGAAGCCGGCGGGGCAUGAACCAACUGUUAAUGAAUCAGUGACUGAAAAAGAAGCCAAGGAAUUCUUAAAAUUCCUAAAGCACAGAGAAUAUAGUGUCGUAGAACAGUUGCACAAAUAGCCAGCGCGUAUAUCGGUACUGGCCUUACUUUUAAGUUCCGAAACUCAUCGCAGUGCAUUGAUGAAGGUGCUGAAUGAAACUUAUGUUGCUAACGAUAUCUUUGUAAACAAGCUAGACCGCUUAGUCAACAAUAUAAGUGCCGACAACUUCAUAUUCUUCAAUGACGAUGAGGUACCGCCAGGGGGCCGAGGAUCAACUAAAGCUUUGCACAUCACGACUCGCUAUAAAGGGUACACGUUACCGGGGGUAUUGAUUGACAAUGGGUCUGCACUGAAUGUCCUACCCCUAUCUACGCUGAGUAGGUUGCCAGUGGAUAGUUCCCAUAUGAAGACAUGCCAAAGUGUAGUGAGAGCAUUUGAUGGCACGGAAAGGAGGGUAAUGGGGAGAAUUGAAGUACCCUUCUUAAUCGGGCCGAGCACAUACGAGGUAGAUUUCUUGGUCAUGGACAUUAAGCCUUCGUAUAAUUGCCUAUUGGGGAGGCCAUGGAUACACUCAGCGAGGGCAGUCCAUUCAUCGCUGCAUCAAAAGUUGAAAUUAGUGACCGAAGGUCAGUUAGUAACAAUCAAUGCUAAAGAGGACAUCAUCGCGACAAUAACCAGUGAUGCCCCAUAUCUGGAGACAAAUGAUGAAGCGAUCGAGUGCUCUUUUCGAUCUUUGGAGUUUGUGAACGCGACGUUCAUCAUCGAAGGAAAUAAGAUUCCAAUGCCCAGGUUAUCUGAGACUACAAGAAUGGGACUACGGUUAACUGUGGGAAAUGGGGCUCUACCCGGAAGAGGACUCGGGAGAUACCUCCAGGAAAGGAUUAAUGUACCAAUGAUGGAGGACAAAUAAGAUCGUUUUGGGUUAGGGUUUAAGCCGGACAUGAAACAAAGGAAGAAGGAACUUGAGAAGAAGCAAGAAAGAAGGAGAGCACGAUUGAGCGGGGGAGAAAUCGAAUGGGAACCAAUGAUCUUCCCCCAUAUAUCAAAGACUUUUGUGUCUGGAGGGGUCAUUCACUCCGAGCGGAAGACGUCGGGAAAGGAAAUCUUGGAAGGAAUGAUGGAGAGUUUAGACAUCAACUCCACAUAUGAAGAAGGGACGAGGGUAGAGAAUUUGUCAGGCAUUCGCCCCUAUGAGCCGGGAAGUGUUCUGAAUAAUUGGACUGCGGAAGAGAUUCUUGUAGUAUUUAAAACUAACUCAGAGUAAUGUCCAAAACACACUUAUUACUCUAGGCCUAGGAGUAACAAGUGUCAUUUUGUGAAAUAGGCUUAUGUUCGAAAUCGUUAUUUCAAUGAAAUGCAUCCUUUUGACUUAUUUCGUGCAAAUAUUCUUUUAUUCUUUCAUUCAUGAUCAUACCAAACAUAUCAUUAUUCUUAGAUUCUCUUGUUCUUUGCAUCUUUCUUCACACCUACAACAGGUCUCCAGAUAUAAAUGAUGCGAGUGACGUUGCUACUAAUUCAGAAUCUCCUUUUGAGCGAGAUAUGUGUCUGGAGGGAUCCCAAGACUUUGAGGAUGACGGAGACUGUAACUUAUCCCUUGAUUUGUUAAGGAUUGUAGAACACGAGAAGAAACAGAUUCUACCCCACAAAGAGACCGUAGAAGUCGUGAACUUGGGAGAUGAACUAGAAAAGAGAGAAGUAAAGAUCGGAACUUGCAUCACCACAGAGACAAAGCGGGACCUUAUUGAGUUACUCCAAGAGUUCAAGGAUGUCUUUGCAUGGUCAUAUCAGGAUAUGCCUGGGCUAAGUACUGACAUUGUGGCACACAGGCUCCCCAUCAAAGAAGAAUGGAAGCCAGUUCAGCAAAAGCUUCGAAGGAUGCGGCCCGAUGUUCUGUUGAAGAUAAAAGAGGAAGUCAAGAGGCAAUUUGAUGCUGGUUUCUUACAAGUAGUUAAGUACUCGGAAUGGGUAGCCAACAUCGUCCCCGUCACUAAAAAAGAUGGAAAGGUACGGAUGUGUGUAGACUACAGAGACUUAAACAAUGCCAGCCCGAAAGAUAAUUUCCCGUUGCCUCAUAUCGACACCUUAGUGGACAACACGGCAGGUUACUCACUCUUCUCCUUCAUGGAUGGUUUCUCGGGGUAUAAUCAGAUCAAGAUGCAUUCUGAAGACAUGAAUAAAACCACAUUUGUGACCAUGUGGGGAACCUUUUGCUAUAAAGUAAUACCGUUCGAAUUUAAAAAUGCGGGAGCAACAUAUCAGAGAGCCCUGGUAACCCUAUUUCAAGAUAUGAUGCAUAAAUAAAUUGAAGUCUAUGUCGACGACAUGAUCGCCAAAUCUCGGACUGAAGAAGAACAUGUGCAAGUCUUGAGGAAAUUAUUUUUGAGGUUGAGAAAAUUCCAGUUGAAACUCAACCCCGCAAAAUGUUCUUUCGGAGCCAGGUCUGGAAAACUGCUAGGAUUCGUGGUCAGUGGAAAAGGGAUUGAGAUUGACCCAGAUAAAGUCAAAACCAUACAAGAGUUACCUCCACUACGCACUCAGAAGGAAGUUCGAGGAUUCCUAGGAAGACUAAAUUACAUCACUCGGUUUAUUUCACAACUAACCGAGAAAUGUGACCCCAUAUUCCGUCUCCUUAAGAAACACAACCCUGGUGGUUGGGACGAGGAAUGCCAGAAGACCUUUGACAAAGUUAAGCAAUAUUUAUCUAAUGCCCCAGUGUUGACACCACCUAAUCCAAAUAAGCCACUGAUACUGUAUUUGACGGUAUUUGAAAAUUCUAUGGGAUGCGUGCUUGGCCAACACGAUGAAUCAGGAAGGAAAGAAAGCGAUAUAUUACCUCAGUAAAAAGUUUACUGAGUGUGAGACGAGAUACUCGUUCAUUGAAAAGUUGUGCUGUGCCUUGAUUUGGACAACUCGAAUACUGAGACAAUACAUGUUGUACCAUACAACUUGGCUGAUCUCUAAAAUGGAUCCUCUGAAGUACUUGAUGGAGUCGACUGCCUUCAACGAGAGAAUGGCUCGAUGGCAAAUUCUACUUUCUGAAUUCGAUAUAGUCUAUGUGAACCAGAAGGCCGUAAAAGGGAGUGCGAUAGCAGAUUUCUUAGCCAGCAGAGCCCUAGAGGACUACGAGCCUCUGAACUUUGAUUUCCCAAAUGAAGAUCUAAUGUGCAUAGCAACCACUGAAGAAGACCCUCAAGAAGGUCACCUUUGGAAGCUAAACUUUGACGGAGCAUCAAAUGCCGUGUGUAACGGAAUCGGGGCAGUUUUGGUGUCCCCGAACGAAGAUCAUUAUCCAUUCACUAGUAAAUUGAAUUUUGACUGCACGAACAAUAUGGCAGAAUACGAAGCAUGCAUCAUGGGAAUACGUACGGCCAUAGAACGUAAAAUCAAGGUGUUAGAGGUAUAUAGAGAUUCUGCCCUAGUGAUUUAUCAACUCAAAGGUGAAUGGGAGACAAGAGACCCCAAAUUGAUCAAUUACUGGAGGUUGAUCCUUGAGUUAAUUAAAGAGUUUGAUGAUAUUAUCUUCUACUACCUCCCACGAGAAGAAAAUCAGAUGGCUGACGCCCUAGCAACUUUAGCUUCUAUGAUUAAGGUGAACCAACCAGAGAAUGUGAAACCAAUCCAAAUGAGCAUUUACGAGGCCCCGGCUCAUUGUUACAACCUCGAAGAAGAAGAGGAAAAUGAUGAUCGCCCUUGGUACCACGAUAUCCUACGAUAUGUGAAGAAUCGCGAGUACCCCGACCAAGCUACUGAGAACGACAAAAGAACGUUGAAAAGACUGGCCAGUGACUAUGUCUUAGACGGGGAGAUCCUAUACAAAAGAAGAAAGGAUCAGGUACUGUUAAGAUGUGUAAACGCCAUUGAGGCUAAGAAAAUCUUGGAAGAAGUCCAUGAGGGCGUCUGCGGGACACAUGCUAAUGGUUUUACAAUGGCCAGGCAAAUUAUGAGGUUCGGUUAUUAUUGGUCCACCAUGGAAGGAGACUGUAUUAACUACGCCAAAAGAUGUUAUAAGUGCCAAAUCUAUGGAGACAAGAUUAAUGUACCUCCCUCACCUCUGCAUGUCAUGACUUCGCCAUGGCCUUUGUCGAUGUGGGGCAUGGAUGUGAUUGGGCCAAUUUCGCCAAAAGCUUCAAAUGGGUAUCGUUUCAUCUUUGUGGUCAUCGAUUAUUUCACCAAAUGGGUGGAAGCCGCUUCAUAUGCCAAUGUCACUAAAUCAGCAGUUAGCAAGUUUCUGAAAAAGGAAAUCGUCUGUCGAUAUGGAAUGCCGGAAAGGAUCAUAUCUGACAACGCAUUGAAUUUGAACAAUAGCACGAUAACGGACGUCUGCAGUCAGUUCAAGAUCAGACAUCACAACUCGUCACCGUAUCGCCCGAAGAUGAACGGUGCAGUUGAAGCAGCCAAUAAGAACAUCAAGAAGAUUGUAGGAAAGAUGACAGAAACUUAUAAAGAUUGGCAUGAGAAGCUACCAUUCGCCCUCUAUGCUUAUCGAACGUCUAUCAGAACUUCUACUGGGGCAACGCCUUUCUCAUUAGUUUAUGGGAUGGGGGCAGUUUUACCUAUCGAGGUCAAGAUUCCUUCCCUCAGAGUUUUGUCAGAAGUAAAGUUGGAUGAAGCGGAAUGGAUCUAGUCCCGAUACGAUCAGUUGAAUUUGAUUGAAGAAAAAAGGCUACGGGCUAUUCGCCAUGGUCAGAUGUACCAGAAGCGAAUGGUGCGAGCUUACAACAAAAAGAUUCGUCCCAGAGAGUUCCACGAGGGAGACCUAGUACUGAAAAAGAUCCUGCCUAUACAAAAGGACUUCAGACGAAAAUGGAUGCCAAAUUGGGAAGGGCCUUAUGUGGUGAAGAAAGCCUUUUCUGGCGGAGCAUUGAUAUUGGCUGAAAUGGAUGGCAAGACCUUAUCCAAUCCCGUGAAUUCGGAUUCGGUUAAGAAAUACUUCGCCUAAAAAAAAGAUAAAAAAAGAGGAGAGGCCAGGGUGAAAACUCGCAAAGAGCACCUUGAGACCAAAGGGAUUUUGAAUUGAAAACCCGUAAAGGGCGAUUCAAAUUUUGAUCAAAGGUGGGGCAUGCGAUGGUCUUAUGGUACCUAAAUUAACAAGGAGGAGAGAUGUUACAUCUUGGGACAUCUGCAAGAGUACUCUAGAUCCUCUAAACACAUAUUGGGCAAAAAAAGAAGUCUUCAAGAAGUCAGUACAGAGAAACUCACGCUGCGAUAUCUGGGGCACCUAUUCCCUUUUAUUCAUUUUGUAUUCCAGCAAUGUUUGUUUUUAAUCUAUUCCCUUCAAAUGUUGUUUCUGAUAAAUUUCAGUUUUGCCAUUGUUAUGAUCUUUUUCAAGAAUUUUGCAUUGAAAUGAUGAUUAAUGGACUAAAGCCAUUUUCGUAAAAAGAGUUCUGCAUAUUACUCUGAAAGUUUCUAAAUAGUACAGGAACUUGAAACAGGACUAUCUUUUUUAGAACUAACUAAACUCAAAGAUUGAAAACAUCUGAGAAGAAAGAGUUUAAAUUGGGACUAUCUCUUCGGGUCUUCUGUUCAAAUUGGAGCUGAACAAAAAGACAGGGUACCAUUUCAGUGAAGGAACCUUGAUGAACAAAGAGCAAUGGCAGCCUAAACAGGGAUUCACGCUCACAACAUGCUGCAUUCAUACAUUCAUAGAUCAUUCAUAAUGUAUCUAAUUAGGAGCAUUUGAUUCACUUUAAUCAUAGCAUCCUAAUUCUUUGGCAUAAGCAUAAAUACAUGGAACUGAUGCUACAGGUCAUGUCCCUAGAAUCAGUGAAUUCACCAAAGCCUUAAACCCCUAAGCAGUAGGGUAACAGGUUGAAUUUAUAGACCUUGACCCCCUAAGCAGUAGGGUAAUAGGCUGAAAAUUACGGAUCUGUCUCUCUGAAGUUGCAGUGGAACAGAUCGAAUCCAGCAAGUCUCAUCUCCCUGAAGUCGUAGUGGAGUAGACUGAAGAUUUACAGAUCUUACCCCCUAAGCAGUAGGGAAACAGAUCAGAAGUGAUGGGCUUCAACCCCCUAAGCAAUAGGGUAACAAGCCAAAUUUUCAAACCUUAAACCCCUAAGCAGUAGGGAAACAGGUCGAGCUUUAACCCCUAAGCAAUAGGGUAACAAGCUGAAUUUUGAAGAUCUUAUCAUCCUAAGCAGUAGGGAAACAGGUUGAGCUUUAACCCCUAAACAGUAGGGUAACAAGUUGAAUUUUGAAAAUCUUAACCCCCUAAGCAGUAGGGAAACAGAUCAAAGAGGAUGGGCCUUAACCCCUAAGCAGUAGGGUAACAGGUUGAAAAUUACAAAUCUCUUUUCUUUGAAAUGUCACUGGAUAGCACAACAGACCUCCUUGAAGUUUCAACGGGAUAGAUUGAAGUUACAAGUCUUAUCUCCCUAAAGUUGUAGUGGAGCAGACUAAAGAUAGCAAAUCUUAUUUCCCUGAAGUUGCAGUGGAACAGAUUGAAGCUAAAGUACAGAUUUUAUCUCUUUGAAGUUGCAGUGGAGCAGAUCGAAGCCAUUAACCUUAUCCCCUAAAGUUGUAAUGGAGCGGACUGAAGAUAUCAAAUCUUACUUCCCUGAAGAUGCAAUAAAUUGGAGUGAAGAAACAAGAUUGGAAUGAAGCUACUUGGAGAAAAUGAGCUCUAAACAAGUCAAGACCUGGUGAGACUAAGCAAAAUUGGUCUUUCUUAAGUCUUUGCUCUGUUCCCGUUACACGACAACAAGCAAAGAGGGGCAGCCGUACAGCCCAAUUUUGGGGCCCAAAUAAAACCCACUAACCCCUAAAUACUCACUAAACCCCCUAUAACACCAAAUAAAACCCAAUAGCAGCCCAAUUCAAACCAAAUAAACAAACAGACCAAAACCGACAAGCCCAAUGCAAACCCAAACUACCCACUACACACUAAACCUACCCAAACCCUAAUCUAACCCUAAAAUUUAGGGUUUCAGAAUUUGAAACCCUAAAUCACUUAUCCCACCGCCCCAUGUCAGAAUCUGGCCACCGCCUCUGCUCCACCGCCACGGUCACGUCAGUCACCCACUUGCUCCACUACCUGCAAAUAUUAAAUAGAGAAAAGACAGGAAGUAGAAAAGAAACAUGUAAUGGCUAUAUAUAAAGCCGAAUCAAAAACCAUGAGGGUCGGUUUUUUGAAAAUGAAAAGCAUUUAGAUCUUAAAGAAUACAAAACAAAGAUUUCAUCAACAUCAAAAAGCAAAAAAAAUGAAAUCUCAGCAAAAUCAAAAGGCAGAAAACAGUUCAAACAAAGAAUCGAAAUCUAAUAUUGCAAGGUGAUUUUACCAUCAUCAUUGUCUUCUUUCUUUUUCUUCUUUUAAUCUAUUUAUUCACAUGCCUAUACAUAUAUAAAAUAGCAAAAAAAAAUAGAAUAAAAAAUUUACCUUGAGCGAUUUCCGGCCACCGUGUACGGUGGCCGGCACGGCGGACGACACGGCGGCGAACGGUCAGCUCCUCGCCGGUUUCUGGG